This 53-nucleotide transfer RNA is filed under the name Escherichia coli BIDMC 73. Its description in RNAcentral is "tRNA-Ser". It matches the Rfam family "tRNA", at positions 22 to 71 of the family's 71-position model. Rfam says of the family: Transfer RNA (tRNA) molecules are approximately 80 nucleotides in length. Their secondary structure includes four short double-helical elements and three loops (D, anti-codon, and T loops). The record is from RNAcentral. Lineage: Bacteria; Pseudomonadati; Pseudomonadota; Gammaproteobacteria; Enterobacterales; Enterobacteriaceae.
GACACCGCCCUUUCACGGCGGUAACAGGGGUUCGAAUCCCCUAGGGGACGCCA